AUGAACAUUCAAGUAAAAGAAUAUAAGGCAGAGAACUCAGGUAAUUUAAUAGCAAGACUCAAGGUCAGUGGUCUGAAAUUCUGGACCUGUUCAGAGAUAACCAGAGUGGACGUGAACUUUAAAGCAACACCCAGGAAACAGAAGUCUACUGAAUACAAGAUACUUGUCUUUGCUGGUGUCUCAUCGUUACUUGUAGCAAAUUUCGAGUAUGUGUUAAUUGCGAUUGGCAAUGAAGAACCGCUGUCUUUGUCAGGCAAGUGGUGUGAAUGGGGCUUGAAGAAAGGUGGCGUUGGGAAAAUGGCUAAUCAGCAGCACAUUCACCAGGUGAAGGAAAUUUUAAAGUGCACGGUGGAACUUUCUAGAGGCCACAUGAUAUAUGAUGGUGCCAUCACUCCAACAACUAACAAAAAGCAAUAUGCAGGAGUAAACGUGAUGCUAGCCAUCCCUAGGAGGAUGGCAUUUCUCUUGGCCAAACUCCUUCCUGUUGGAAAAAGCAAAACCAGCAAACCAGCUGCACAAGGCCCACGUGGAAGCGCUACAUCUAAGGGACCUGCAGUUGGCAUUGAUCUUGGCACCACCUCCUAUUGUGUGGGUGUCUUCCAGCACGGGAAAGUGGAAAUAAUUGCCAACGAUCAGGGAAACUGAACCACCCCAAGUUGUCACUUUUACUGACAUCAAACGAUUGAUCAGCAAUGCUGCAAAGAAUGAAGUUGCAGUGAACCCCACCAACACAGUUUUUGAUGUCAAAUGCCUGAUCGGACAUAAAGUCGUUGAUGCUCUUGUCCAAUCUGAUAUGGAGCAUUGGCUCUUCAUGGUGGGGAAUGAUGCUGGCAGGCCCAAGGUCUAAGUAAAAUACAAGGGAAAGAAGAGGUGUCCUCUGUGGUUUUGACAAAGAUGAAGGAAAUCACAGAGGCUUAGACAGAAAGGUUGGAGCUGAAAGGAAUGUGCUCAUCUUUGACGUAGGAGGUGGCACUUUUGAUGUCUCAAUCCCCACCAUUGGAAUGGGAUAUUUAAGGUCAAAUCUACAGCUGGAGACACCCACUUAGGUGUAGAAGACUUUGACAACCGAAUGGUCAAUCAUUUUAUUGUGAAGUUCAAGGGCAAACAUAAGAAGGACAUCCACAAGAACAAGAGGGCAGUCCAUCACCUCCAGACUGCUUACGAGUGUGCUAAGCAUACAUUGUCUUCCAGCAACCAGGCCAGUAUUGAGAUUGAUGCUCUGUAUGAAGGAAUUGACUUCCAUACCUCUAUGACUUGUCCCCGAUUUGAAGAAUUAAAUGCUGACCUGUUCUGUGGCACCCUGGACCUUAUAGAGAAAGCCCUUUGGGAUGCCAAGCUAUACAAGUGUCAGAUCAAUGAUAUUGUCCUGGUGGGUGGUUCUAUCCAUAUCCCCAAGAUUCAGAAACUUCUGCAAGACUUCUUCAAUGGAAAGGAACUGAACAAGAGCAUCAGCCCUGAUGAGGCUGUUGCUUAUGGUGCAGCUGUCCAGACAGCCAUCCCUUCUGGAGACAAAUCUGAAAAUGUUCAGGAUUCCCUGCUGUUGGAUGUCACUCCUCUUUCUCUUGGCUUUGAAACUGCUGGAGGAGUCAUGACUGUCCUCACCAAGUACAAUACUACCAUUCCUACCAAACAGAUGCAAACCUUCCCUACCUACUCUGACAACCAGCCUGGUGUGCUCGUUCAGGUUUAUGAAGGUAAGCGUGCCAUAACCAUGGAUAACAACCUACUUGGGUUUGAACUCAUAGGCAUACCUCCUGCCCCCCGUGGUGCUCCUUCUAUUGAAGUCACCUUUGAUAUUGAUGCUAAUGGCAUCCUCAGUGUCUCUGCUAUGGAUAAGAGUUCAGGAAUAAAACUGCAAUAA
RNA transcript from Neomonachus schauinslandi (Hawaiian monk seal), 1861 nucleotides. It is a transcript of the gene named heat shock cognate 71 kDa protein-like, with no coding region annotated. The transcript is spliced from 8 exons. Lineage: Eukaryota; Metazoa; Chordata; Mammalia; Carnivora; Phocidae. The record is from RefSeq and is a predicted model, not a curated record.